GCAGCUACCCACACCCCUGUGGGUAUGACAAGCUGUGGCCUAGCCUCCUCAACAAGGAGAGGGAGGAGAGCCUGUGGCAGAAGUGAGUGAGCUCACCUGCCUGCAGAGUCCCUGAUAUCUUACUUCUGUCUAUUCACUUUUCCUCUCUGCCUGCCUUGCGUUUUCACCCUUUCAAUCCAUCCAGCUGAUGGAUCCCUUAUGCAUCCUACCUACCCCCUUACAUUCUUACUCUUCAUCACGUCCCUUCAUAAGGUGCCCUGGUCUCCUUCCUCUCCCUUUCACCUUCUGCUAGAGCACACAUGGCCAAACACCUCAUACUCACUGGAAUUUCCUUGUCUUGUGUUAUCAUUAGAGAAAAUUGUAUACAAUAUAUGUGUUAUAUAUUAUAUAUGUUAAUAUGUUAAUAUAUAUUGUAUACAAUAUAUGUUAUAUAUUAUAUAUGUUAAUAUAUGUUGUAUAUAAUAUAUAUAUUAUGUAAUAAAAAUUAUAUUUUUUAGCGAUGAGGUCUCGCUACCUUGCCCAAGCUGGUCUCGAACUCCUGGCCUCAAGCGAUCUUCUCACCUUAGCCUCCCAAGCAGCUGGGAUUAGAGAGCAUGUUUUUAUUCCCCACUACACUGAGCUCCUGCAAGGAAGGACCUCUGUUUUAUUCAUCCCAGAAUUCUAGUGCUGACAAAGAUUGUCUUAUUGACCAAAUUUUACUCAGGUUCCUUUGAGCUCUUUUUCAACUAGGCCUGGAUUUUUGGAUUUCUGAGUUUGUCUCUGCAUUGUCUGAUUUCAGCAAGGAAAUUGCUAAGUCCUGCUAAGUCUAUUUAGCCAUCCCCCAUAUCCAACCACUCUCAAUAUCUAAUCUGGUUCCUCAUCCUCCACCAUCUCCCAGGUGAUGUUUGAUCACCCUGGUGCCUUCAGCAAAAAUAAUGUUAGGUCGGUUUAGCCCAAAUCUUCCAUUAUGCCUGAUGUUUCGUCUUAGUAAAUUUCCAUCCAUUGACUCCCACCUUGUUCCUUGGCUCUAAAUUCCCAUUUGCCCACACUGUAUUUUAGCUGAUCUCAAUCUAUCUCCCCCAUUGCAAGAUGCCAUUGCAGUGAUUCCUAUACUUAUCUUGAUAUUGCCCCCUCGAACACAGUCUUUCUCACCAUCUUUAACAAGUGUCAUUUUAAAAAAAUUGAACAGUAAUGAUGCUGUGACUUUUAUAGGAUCAGAUUCAUCACUGGACUCCUGGACCUAUCACUGCAGACCUCAAAUGUGCACCUUUUAAGCCCUUUCCUUCACUCCUGACUGAUUGAUUUGGGAUCCACCGCUAAGUCAGACUUUUGAACCAUUGUUCCAGGCAAACUUCUGUUAAAGCUGUUUCAGAUGAGUUUCCAAUGUUUAUAUUCUAGUUGGACCACAAAUAAUGAGUCUCAUCUCAGCACCCGAAGGAGCUCUAUUCAAAUUGGCCGAAAGAUAAAUGAACACUUAUCUCCAUGGAAUAUUCCUAAAACUCCCAGCGAUAUAGAAAGAAACCCAAAUGCUUUUCAAGUUCACAUGACCUGGGUAAAUCUUUGAUGGAGUCUCCCUCUGUCGUCCAGGCUGGAGUGCAGUGGCGCGAUCUCUGCUCACUGCAACCUCCACCUCCCGGUUUUAUUCGAUUCUCCUGCCUCAGCCUCCUGAGUAGCUGGGACUACAGUGGCCUCAGGGAUAUGGAAUUAAGAUCCACCUGGUGUGAUGAAUAAACCCAGACUCUCAGCAACGCAGGAAAAAAAAAAAACUGGCUGGCGAUCUGGAGUAAAGGAUCCUCACAUAUCACGUGAACCAGGAAACUCUGUGCCCAAACCGAGGAAAAACAAACACUGGGAGAGCCGGUAAAGUAUUUCCUUGGUGGUGGGGACUAAGGAAAAAGCGGCAGGGUGGUAAAGCAUUCCUUAGUUAAGACAUACCAAGGAGAGAGAAACCACAGGGGCGGUAAAGCAUUCCUUGGUUGGGACUAGAGAAAGAAAUCCACAGGAGGUGGUAAAGUAUUCCUUAGUCAGGAUGUCUUGGAGGUUAAAAAGAUGUGAGAAAUUCCCACUGUGGGGGUUAAACCUUAAAAAGAGGUGAGAAAUCCCCAUUGUGGGAGUUGAAUCUCACACAAACCUCCGGUAGUAAAUAUAUAUUCAAAACUCCCCUUUCCUCUCUUCUCGGGGAAAGAAAAAGGCUAAGCUCCACUCCCACCGGUUGCUCCCCUAGGGGAAGGGGAAGGAGAGGGGGGAAAACAGCAGCAUAGGUGGCUGGCAGAGGCAAAGUCCAGCAGGGAGGAAAAAGAAACCAGGAAAGGAAGUCAGAGAGAAAGAGAGCAAAAACAGCAAGCGUGACGCCAGACAGGCGCACCAAGGGUUAAGUCCCUCUCCCCAGCCCAGCUCUAAGUGAAAAAGAGGGUGGGGAAUGGCGCCAGGAGGAGAGCAGAGGAGGUGAAAGGGCAUAAUUAUUGCAACUUGCAGUAGGCAUCUGCCAAGCCUCUGGGCCAGUGAUGGCCCAGGGUCUGGACUGCAGCCCCACAAAUCCCACCCAGCCCAAGAAACUGAGUGUAGGAAGAAAGGAAAAAAGUAAAAAGGGAAAUUAGGAAAAGAAAAAAAAAAGCAGACGAAACAGACAGCAGUGUGUGUGCGCGGGGGCGGGACCCAUGCCGUUGCCCGGCCUUGCCGGCCCCCGCAGGAGCGGGAGAACUUGGGAGGGAAAAAGGAAACAAGGGAUGACGGAGAGAGAGAGAAAAAAAGAGAGUGCAAAUGAGAGAGAGGAAUGGGGGAAAGAAUAAGUAAGAGAGAAACUGGAAGAGACAGAAAUCAAAGACAGAGGGUGAAACUAGGAAAAGAAAUAGUGUAAAAGGAAGGCAGAAAGUUAAGACAUGUUUAAGAUUGUCUGUGAAAGUUGUAAGAAAGGUUAUAAAGGGAAUUUAUGCAAGAAAUAUUGUAUAAUUUAAAAGUAAUUAGGCCUCCUGAAUGUAAAACUAUUAAAAAAGUUUAUGUACAAAGUAUGUAAGAAAAAUAAAAUAUACUUUUAAUAAAAGGAUUAUAAGGAGGCAUAAGAAUAUGGGUUUUUACCUACAUUAAAAGGUUUAAAAAAUUUUGUUUUAAAGGUUUAAGCAAGUCUUAACAUGUUAAUUGUAAAGGAAAUUCUGUGUGUAAACAUUUUGGCUAAAGUUAAAGGGUUUAUCAUCCAGUUUUUCUGUGACUCUUACCUUAUAGUCAGACAUUAAAAUUGGAUAAUGUCUACAAGAUUUUAUUAAAAUUAACAUUAAUAGCACAUUAAUAUAAAGGUAAAAUUUAGAUUAUCCGGUACAAAAUCAUACAAAAAGCAUUGUCAAAUAUAAAAUGGUGUUUAGCUUUCUUAAGGCCCGAGGGCGGCUGGGUAAGUCACAAGCCCCUCAUCCCCAAGGCCACAGUGUACAGGGGAGGUGAAGGCCACUAGAAGGCCAAGACUUUAAGAGGGGGCAGGGCCGCAGCAUCCCCUGAGCGGUGCUGAGCAGGAAUGGAGUGGGAGGCAUCACCAUUGGGCCUCAAGCCCCAGAAUAUGCAGCAAAAAUUAUAUACUUAAUUUAUCUUCCACUUUCCCUUCCCUCAGAACUGAAAGUCUUUUAGCACAGGUACCAGCCCUAGAAUUUCCAGUACACCAGCAGCAGCCUGCAAACCACAUCCUCAUCAAAAGACAGAAAGAAAAAAACUCGAGCUGGCCUGGGAAGGACUCUAUUUUAUGCUGUUAACCACUGAGACUGCCAUCCUCACAGCUGAGAAAGGAUGGACCCACCAUACUCGAGUCAAGAAAACAUCUUCCUCGUCAGAAUCAUGGGUUACUGUACUAGGAUUAAGCGCUACUAAGUUAAAGAAAGCUUAAUUUUCAUAUACCUUCUAUAUUGCUUCCUUUCCUUUCCUUAUUCUGUUACUAGCUCCUUUGUUAUUAAUGUAACUUAAGUCUGACUCACCUCAGACCAUUGCCUUUAAUGCUUGCUCUGUCAUACCUUGUAGAAAUGUAAAAGAUCAAUGACAGCUAGCCUUUUCACACAAUUAUUUAUGCCUCAGCCCUCUAAUUGACACAGUUACCCCUAGCACUCAUCGUUGUGAUCACCUGCAGCCAAGACACUGAUUUUCUGCUCCUAUAGCCUGGCAACCUUGUAGUACAUGGGACUACAUCCUUUAAACUACUCAGGAGCAAAGUUGGACUUCCAUGAAAAAGGUUUGUGCAGAUCUAAAACCUCUCAUCUAUUUCACAAAAGGACUGCCCCUUCUAACUGUCAGCCUUAUCAAUGUAACCCUGUCCUCUCUAUCACCACCUCCACCUUAACUAACUCUAGACCUGUCCUUAAUCGCUUUUAUUGUAUUGGAAUAGGAAUUAAAAGAAAUUAAAGAAUGUGUAAGGAGAAACUCAGUUGUAUGUAAGAAAACCCAAUUCCCUCUGAGAAAGAGAAAGAGUUGGAGUUGUUUAAAAAUUAACCGCCUGUUUUUCUGUGGCUAGUGAGCCUUAUCUCGCCUCCUUUCCCAGGCAUUGUGAAGACCCUGUUUCUCUAGCUGUGCAGCUGCAAGGUCACUAGACAGAUAAACUCAAGUUGUAAAACAUGUUUUUCCUUGAAAAGUAAGAAAUGCUGUAAUGCAUUUCUCAAUUAAUUAAAUAACUGUCUUUGUUUCUCACUUCUGUAAUAUGCUUUCCCCUGCACAAAUCUCCACCCACCCUACAAAAUGCUUAAAAGGUAACUUAACUCUUUGUUCUGGGUUCAGUCCUUUGGGCUGAGUACUGGGCCGGUGCACCUAAAUAAUAAAUAUCUUCCUGAACCCCA
Molecule: long non-coding RNA, 4781 nt
Organism: Symphalangus syndactylus (siamang)
Lineage: Eukaryota; Metazoa; Chordata; Mammalia; Primates; Hylobatidae
Source: RefSeq, a predicted model, not a curated record